RNAcentral lists this ribosomal RNA (481 nucleotides) under uncultured bacterium. RNAcentral's name for it is "partial 16S ribosomal RNA". It matches the Rfam family "Bacterial small subunit ribosomal RNA", at positions 28 to 507 of the family's 1533-position model. The record is from RNAcentral.
GACGAACGUUGGCGGCGUGCUUAAUACAUGCAAGUCAACUGAAGCAGUGGUAGCAAUAUCGCUGUGGAGGUGGCGCACGGGUGAGUAACACGUAGGUAAUCUGCCUUCAGGUCUGGCAUAACUCCGGGAAACCGGGGCUAAUAGCAGAUGAUGCAGCGGCUCGACAUCGAGACAGUUGUUAAAGCUAUGGCGCCUGAAGAUGAGCCUGCGUCUGAUUAGCUAGUUGGCGGGGUAACGGCCCACCAAGGCAACGAUCAGUAGCUGGUCUGAGAGGAUGAUCAGCCACACUGGAACUGAGACACGGUCCAGACUCCUACGGGAGGCAGCAGUAAGGAAUAUUGCUCAAUGGGAGAAAUCCUGAAGCAGCAACGCCGCGUGAGGGACGAAGGGCUUUUGCUUGUAAACCUCUGUAGUGAGAGAAAAAAAUCCCAAACUUUGGGACAUGAUGGUAUCUCAAAAGUAAGCCCCGGCUAACUACGUG